GGAAACCCUGAUCCAGCAAUGCCGCGUGAGUGAAGAAGGCCUUCGGGUUGUAAAGCUCUUUUGUCAGGGAGGAAACGGUAGAUUCUAAUACAAUCUAUUAAUGACAGUACCUGAAGAAUAGGCACCGGCUAACUACGUGCCAGCAGCCGCGGUAAUACGUAGGGUGCAAGCGUUAAUCGGAAUUACUGGGCGUAAAGCGUGCGCAGGCGGCUAUGUAAGACAGAUGUGAAAUCCCUGGGCUCAACCUAGGAACUGCAUUUGUGACUACAUGACUAGAGUGUGUCAUAUUUUAUGUAUAAUUCCA
This 304-nucleotide ribosomal RNA is filed under the name uncultured beta proteobacterium. RNAcentral describes it as "bacterial SSU rRNA". It matches the Rfam family "Bacterial small subunit ribosomal RNA", at positions 376 to 671 of the family's 1533-position model. The record is from RNAcentral. Lineage: Bacteria; Pseudomonadati; Pseudomonadota; Betaproteobacteria.